RNAcentral lists this ribosomal RNA (376 nucleotides) under uncultured bacterium. Its description in RNAcentral is "bacterial SSU rRNA". It matches the Rfam family "Bacterial small subunit ribosomal RNA", at positions 28 to 404 of the family's 1533-position model. The record is from RNAcentral.
GACGAACGCUGGCGGCGUGCUUAACACAUGCAAGUCGAGCGGUAAGGCCCUUUCGGGGGUACACGAGCGGCGAACGGGUGAGUAACACGUGGGUGACCUGCCCUCAGCUCUGGGAUAAGCCUGGGAAACCGGGUCUAAUACUGGAUAUGACUCCAUGACGCAUGUUGUGGGGUGGAAAGCCUUGUGCGGCUGAGGAUGGGCCCGCGGCCUAUCAGCUUGUUGGUGGGGUGAUGGCCUACCAAGGCGACGACGGGUAGCCGGCCUGAGAGGGCGACCGGCCACACUGGGACUGAGACACGGCCCAGACUCCUACGGGAGGCAGCAGUGGGGAAGUCUUGCGCAAUGGGCGAAAGCCUGACGCAGCGACGCCGCGUGA